CCUACGGGGGGCUGCAGUGGGGAAUAUUGGACAAUGGGGGGAACCCUGAUCCAGCCAUGCCGCGUGUGUGAAGAAGGCCCUCGGGUUGUAAAGCACUUUCAGUGAGGAAGAACGCCUGGUGGUUAAUACCCAUCAGGAAAGACAUCACUCACAGAAGAAGCACCGGCUAACUCCGUGCCAGCAGCCGCGGUAAUACGGAGGGUGCGAGCGUUAAUCGGAAUUACUGGGCGUAAAGCGCGCGUAGGUGCCUUGAUAAGCCGGUUGUGAAAGCCCCGGGCUCAACCUGGGAACGGCAUCCGGAACUGUCAAGCUAGAGUGCAGGAGAGGAAGGUAGAAUUCCCGGUGUAGCGGUGAAAUGCGUAGAGAUCGGGAGGAAUACCAGUGGCGAAGGCGGCCUUCUGGACUGACACUGACACUGAGGUGCGAAAGCGUGGGUAGCAAACAGGAUUAGAUACCCUAGUAGUC
Molecule: ribosomal RNA, 465 nt
Filed under: Vreelandella stevensii
Lineage: Bacteria; Pseudomonadati; Pseudomonadota; Gammaproteobacteria; Oceanospirillales; Halomonadaceae
Description: partial 16S ribosomal RNA
Rfam family: Bacterial small subunit ribosomal RNA
Source: RNAcentral